AAUAGUUUUCUUCAGUGAGAUGCCUGGGCUGGUAGACAUGGGAGAGAGUUUUCUUGACUUAGGGAAAGAUUUCAACACUAUCUCCCAUAAUGUCCUCACAUUUGAAUUGAUGAAGUAGUGACUAGCCAACCAUGUGAGCACUUGGUGGGCAACAAGAAGUGAGCACCACAUUCUGUCUCAAAAGGAGUGAAGCAGAAGAAACAGAAGGACAUGGAAGUUUGAUAAACAUGGACAAACAAGGAAAAAUCACUUAAUGAAGAGAAAACACAGUUUAGGAUUGCUUCUUUUAAAGAAGUGAUGAGUAUGCUGAAAAA
Molecule: long non-coding RNA, 314 nt
Organism: Pogoniulus pusillus (Red-fronted tinkerbird)
Lineage: Eukaryota; Metazoa; Chordata; Aves; Piciformes; Lybiidae
Exons: 2
Source: RefSeq, a predicted model, not a curated record